Long non-coding RNA from Passer domesticus (house sparrow), 2499 nucleotides. RefSeq lists it as uncharacterized. NCBI's taxonomy places the organism in Eukaryota, Metazoa, Chordata, Aves, Passeriformes, Passeridae. The record is from RefSeq and is a predicted model, not a curated record. The transcript is spliced from 2 exons.
AUCUGAGAAAAAGCAGCCUUUACACAAGCAGUACCUCCCCUAGAGGAGGUCCCUGAAACAAAACAUCACCUAAUUGUAGUCUGCAGCUUCAACACUACAGGGAAGAAAGGCUCCUCCAACCUCUGACAGUAACUGCUGGCAAAUGGGAUGUGCUACUUAAGGAGAAGUUCCAGGACUGGUGUGUCUGCUCUCAGGCUGCUUACAUCCCUUCAACAUGUCUUUGGUUCUUAUUGUCCAUGGGGGAUCUCUCCAGACCUGGAGUAUGGGCAUUCCAGUAGCUGAAGAGCUGCCACUGAACUGGCUCCACACUGAGGACAUGCAAAACUUGAAAGCCAGCAAGUUCCUCUCUUGAGGGCAACAUCCUACAUGGAAUGCCACCUUUUUCUUUGAGGCUGGAGAAACAAUGUUGUUCGAAAUGACAGCUUUACAGCAAAGGUAAAAUCAGAGAAAUUAGCUCAUUCAAAUUUUAAAGGACUUGAGAAAAAACCCCACAUUUAGUGUAGCAACUGAACCAAGUCAAACCAAGUUAACAAUGUCACCCCAUAAUUAUUACAGCUACCUGUUCUGUACUCUAAGUUUUACUCUUUUUGGCUGGCUCAGCUGAAAAAAGUUGAUACCACCAGACACUAUUUCUCUCUAAAAUGAGAUAAUGACAGAUAAUUCUAGACAGACAAAGAGGAGACAUUUAAUCCUGCUUCAGUUAGGAAAUAUUUAAUUAAACCAGGAAUCUGCAACUUCUCCCUGGACUGUUCCCAUUGAAUCCAAUGAUCACCACAUCACUUUACUGUAUCUGCUCUUUCAGACAGAUUACUGUGUCUGGAAACCUGGUGUCCCUGCUCCUAAAGAACGUAAGGACCUAGCACCAGGGAAGGAAUGAAUCAAUGAAUUACAGGAGUGCUUGCACUGGGGUCUCUCUACCUUUACAUGCAAGACCACUAUUAGAGAUUAAUCUGAAAAUGGAUUUACAUUAAGGUUAAACAAAUUUUGGGAAAAGGCUUUACAAAAAAUACUUACAAAUUGAUUUAGAGAUGAUAGCACUCUACUGAUUCUAUGUUUUUAAAGUUUCUUUAACUUCUGUAUAACACUGGUUUAUUAAAUGCUGAUAUAAUGAGAAACAUACAACAAAACUGAAUUAUCUUCAAUCACAAAUGCUUAUGGCAGUACAAUAAGAAUUUUAAAACCUAAAUAAAAACAAUACAGACUCUGUUGUCAUAGAACAGAGACUGUUGUCCAACAGGUAUUUUGGGGCUAUUAUUUAAAAGACACUACCAAUGGCAAACUUAAACCUUCAUGGUUACUUGAAAAGUAAAUGAAACACAAGUUCCAAACAAGCCUGCAGUUUCUGGCAUCAGCUUUCUACUAAGUCUGGAAACCUAAAAGAUUGACAAUACCAGCAUUAUAACUUAGGAUUCAAAGAUAAAGGAAAAUCUGUAAUUUUUCUAGUCAAAUAUACAAAUCUGACGUUAGCUAAGUCAGCAUAGAUCAAGUUUCAUUACUUCUCCUGGAAAUAAACACUUUUGGGAAGAAUAACAUUUCUUUCAGUCAAUUUUCACAAGCUAGGCCAAACAAAAAGAAUUAAAAAUAGCAAGAUAAGACUGAUGACAAUAAAGUUUCUAAUGUAACAAUGGGAGAGGCCAGUCUGACUCAUCAGCAAAGAAAAGAUAAAAGAAAUGGGAGAUUAAAAGGAUUUACUCAGUCCCACACAAUUCCCAGGCCUCUUAGUAACUCAAUCUGAACACUGUGAAAGCUAAAUAAAGACAUGCCUAAUUUUUUAUAUUAACUGAAGGAACCUGAUAAGCUACUAAAAGCACAAACAGAAAUUAAAUCUUGAAAAGUGAUAUUCUGUACAACAUUUACACCCUGUAAAUAAGAGGAGCAAAUAUGUCUCAGGCCACAGAACUAAGAGGCUCUCACAGUACCUCCUUCAGAAGCAACAUCAGUGAUGCAGCUCCUGAAGAACUAAGUCAUGUCAUUUGGGUUUUUUUGUUUUAUUGAGUUUUGUGUGGUGCAGCUCUGAAGUCCAGCUAAGAGAUACUCUAAUAAACAUCUUCCUUAUCUGGCCAAAAUAUCACAGGAAGUGUAGAUACUGAUGUCCAGAAGGUCACAGAAAUAAGAUCACACUACUUUGUGAUGCCUACACAGAUCAUGAAUGCACAAAGGCCCAGGCAACACACUGAAUUGCAGUGGUCUUGUCAGUAAGCCUAAGGACAGAUUAAACUGGGAAAAAGGAAGAAAAUUUCACUCUCACCCACUCUGACAAAUUAUUUAGCCCUUAGCAGUUCUAGAGAUCAUCUUGGAAAUCAGAAAAAGAAAUUAUCUAAACAAAAGAAUACGUAUCAGCAUCUGCCCACCUGCUAUGGUUACUGCUUCUAGUUCAGAUAUACCAGGAAGAGUCUACCAGAACACUCUGCCAAAAAAGACUACCAGUGGGAAGAACAGAAUUUGGAAGACCUAUGCUAAAUUGAGAUAACAACAGAACAUCACAAAAACCAACAAAAC